UAGCUAGUUGGUGAGGUAAAGGCUUACCAAGGCGACGAUCUGUAGCGGGUCUGAGAGGAUGAUCCGCCACACUGGAACUGAGACACGGUCCAGACUCCUACGGGAGGCAGCAGUGGGGAAUUUUGGACAAUGGGGGCGACCCUGAUCCAUCCAUGCCGCGUGAGUGAAGAAGGCCUUCGGGUUGUAAAGCUCUUUCGGCCGGGAAGAAAUCGCAUGGGCCAAUACCCUGUGUGGAUGACGGUACCGGAAUAAGAAGCACCGGCUAACUACGUGCCAGCAGCCGCGGUAAUACGUAGGGUGCGAGCGUUAAUCGGAAUUACUGGGCGUAAAGCGUGCGCAGGCGGUUUUGUAAGACAGGCGUGAAAUCCCCGGGCUUAACCUGGGAACUGCGUUUGUGACUGCAAGGCUAGAGUACGGCAGAGGGGGGUGGAAUUCCACGUGUAGCAGUGAAAUGCGUAGAGAUGUGGAGGAACACCAAUGGCGAAGGCAGCCCCCUGGGUCGAUACUGACGCUCAUGCACGAAAGCGUGGGUAGCAAACAGGAUUAGAUACCCUGGUAGUCCACGCCCUAAACUAUGUCAACUAGGUGUUGGGUGGGUAAAACCAUUUAGUACCGUAGCUAACGCGUGAAGUUGACUGCCUGGGGAGUACGGCCGCAAGGUUAAAACUCAAAGGAAUUGACGGGGACCCGCACAAGCGGUGGAUGAUGUGGAUUAAUUCGAUGCAACGCGAAAAACCUUACCUACCCUUGACAUGCCAGGAACUUGCCAGAGAUGGCUUGGUGCCCGAAAGGGAGCCUGGACACAGGUGCUGCAUGGCUGUCGUCAGCUCGUGUCGUGAGAUGUUGGGUUAAGUCCCGCAACGAGCGCAACCCUUGUCGUUAAUUGCCAUCAUUUAGUUGGGCACUUUAACGAGACUGCCGGUGACAAACCGAAGGAAGGUGGGGAUGACGUCAAGUCCUCAUGGCCCUUAUGGGUAGGGCUUCACACGUCAUACAAUGGUCGGUACAAAGGGUUGCCAAGCCGCGAGGCGGAGCCAAUCCCAGAAAGCCGAUCGUAGUCCGGAUUGCAGGCUGCAACUUGCCUGCAUGAAGUCGGAAUCGCUAGUAAUCGUGGAUCAGCAUGUCACGGUGAAUACGUUCCCGGGUCUUGUACACACCGCCCGUCACACCAUGGGAGCGGGUUCCGCCAGAAGUAGGUAGCCUAACCGCAAGGGGGGCGCUUACACGGCGGGGUUCGUGACUGGGGUGAAGUCGAACAAGGUAGCCGUAGGGGAACCUGCGGCUG
Molecule: ribosomal RNA, 1285 nt
Filed under: metagenome
Description: bacterial SSU rRNA
Rfam family: Bacterial small subunit ribosomal RNA
Source: RNAcentral